CCGCUCCGAGAUGGGCUCGCGGCCUAUCAGCUUGUUGGUGGGGUAACGGCCUACCAAGGCAACGACGGGUAGCUGGUCUGAGAGGACGAUCAGCCACACUGGGACUGAGACACGGCCCAG
This 120-nucleotide ribosomal RNA is filed under the name uncultured bacterium. RNAcentral describes it as "partial 16S ribosomal RNA". It matches the Rfam family "Bacterial small subunit ribosomal RNA", at positions 215 to 334 of the family's 1533-position model. The record is from RNAcentral.